This 517-nucleotide ribosomal RNA is filed under the name bacterium fme08x95p468. Its description in RNAcentral is "bacterial SSU rRNA". It matches the Rfam family "Bacterial small subunit ribosomal RNA", at positions 48 to 547 of the family's 1533-position model. The record is from RNAcentral.
GCUACACAUGCAGUCGAGCGGAACGACACUAANAAUCCUUCGGGUGCGUUAAUGGGCGUCGAGCGGCGGACGGGUGAGUAAUGCCUAGGAAAUUGCCUUGAUGUGGGGGAUAACCAUUGGAAACGAUGGCUAAUACCGCAUAAUGCCUACGGGCCAAAGAGGGGGAUCUUCGGACCUCUCGCGUCAAGAUAUGCCUAGGUGGGAUUAGCUAGUUGGUGAGGUAAUGGCUCACCAAGGCGACGAUCCCUAGCUGGUCUGAGAGGAUGAUCAGCCACACUGGAACUGAGACACGGUCCAGACUCCUACGGGAGGCAGCAGUGGGGAAUAUUGCACAAUGGGCGAAAGCCUGAUGCAGCCAUGCCGCGUGUAUGAAGAAGGCCUUCGGGUUGUAAAGUACUUUCAGUUGUGAGGAAGGGUGUGUAGUUAANAGCUGCACAUCUUGACGUUAGCAACAGAAGAAGCACCGGCUAACUCCGUGCCAGCAGCCGCGUAAUACGGAGGGUGCGAGCGUUAAUCG